GUGGGGAAUAUUGGGCAAUGGGCGAAAGCCUGACCCAGCAACGCCGCGUGAAGGAAGAAGGUUUUCGGAUCGUAAACUUCUAUCCUUGGUGAAGAUAAUGACGGUAGCCAAGAAGGAAGCCCCGGCUAACUACGUGCUAGCAGCCGCGGUAAUACGUAGGGGGCAAGCGUUGUCCGGAAUGAUUGGGCGUAAAGGGCGCGUAGGCGGCCUGGUAAGUCUGGAGGGAAAGUCCUGCUUUUAAGGUGGGAAUUGCUUUGGAUACUGUCGGGCUUGAGUGCAGGAGAGGUAAGUGGAAUUCCCGGUGUAGCGGUGAAAUGCGUAGAGAUCGGGAGGAACACCAGUGGCGAAGGCGACUUACUGGACUGUAACUGACGCUGAGGCGCGAAAGUGUGGGGAGCAAACAGGAUUAGAUACCCGGGUAGUCC
RNAcentral lists this ribosomal RNA (425 nucleotides) under uncultured bacterium. Its description in RNAcentral is "partial 16S ribosomal RNA". It matches the Rfam family "Bacterial small subunit ribosomal RNA", at positions 354 to 796 of the family's 1533-position model. The record is from RNAcentral.